Molecule: long non-coding RNA, 1942 nt
Filed under: Nicotiana tabacum (common tobacco)
Lineage: Eukaryota; Viridiplantae; Streptophyta; Magnoliopsida; Solanales; Solanaceae
Description: long non-coding RNA (NTAB_LNC014949)
Source: RNAcentral
CUCAACAAUCAAACAUUGUCCCUUGUAAUACAUAUCCAACCUUCCCUAACGAAGACUAAAUGAACCAUUAUGGCUAUUAAGUAUCUUAGCACUACCAAACAGUAUAUGGAGCAGCUAAAUUAAUCUGACUAUUCAUAAAAGUAACUCAACUAUAGAAUAAAACUUCAAAUUCAGAAUGUGUGCGCAAAUCAAAAUAAAAAUACUAAACUAAGUGACUUGCAAACACCAUACAUGAAGAAAUCUGGAAAUUAACAUUUUGGAUAAACCAACUUCUUAUUACAACAAGGACUAAACACAUGCUUUACACUUCAUUUGCCACUCAAAGGUUCAAGAGUACCUGGAUAUCAAAAAUAAAGCAAGAGUAAGGUAAGGAUUUCAGCAAGCAAAUGAGUGAGGAUAGUAGCAAAUCAACAACAAUGCACAACUUCAACUUAAUCCAUAUUCAAACCCAGAAAACUAGAAAUCCAGCGAAGGUUUUUCUAAGUUCUUGCUAAAGAAAAAUCAGAGGAAAACAGACUAACUCCCAAUAAAAGUGCAGAAACCUUUUGAGUCUUUUUUAGGGUUCGAAAUCUCUCCCCAAAAUGUGUGAAGAAAGGCUCUAUUUUAUAAGCAUCUAAAAUGCCAUGUGCUGAAACAGAAUCAGGGAAUUAUUCCCUUAAGCCAGAAAGGCAUCUUUUAACAAACUUGGACAGCUGGCUGUCCCUCAUUGGCUUCAGCAUUUUGUGCUAACCAAAUGAGGCCAGCUGCCCCUAUUCUAGAACCUUCCCACAUGGUCUUAUCCUAUUUAAUACUUACCCACCCUUCAAACAAACUCCUUAAGUUUUUUUAUUGUUCAAUUAACCCCUACAAGUUCUUAAUGACUUACAAAUUAGAGCAAACACAAACGGACAGGUCAAUGUAAAUCAAACAACAAAACUAGACAAUGUGACUGCAUUUUGAACAUUUGAACACUAAAAAAUAAACCUAGAAUGAACUAAUUUCAUGGUGAAUCUCUGAUUUAAAACACCAGAAAUCUAAUUCAAACGGCUAAUGACAAUCUACCCAAACCACAACAAAAUGUUAUACACAUCAAAUUGAAUCUAAGAGACAAACAAUGAAGGAUGAACUGACAUGGAGCAUUCAAAUCAAACUGAUAACAAUAACAUAAAAUAACCUAGAUAACCUAAAGCAUGCAACUAAACACCAGAAUAAAAAAGAACAAGAAAAAGCAAGAAAAAACAGCAUAAGGAAUCUAUCCUAAAAAUUGCGGUUUAAUUAAUGUUACUGCUUAAUUAACAAAAACAAGAGAAGAUAUAGAUGAAUAAAACCCUAACAACACAUUUUUUGUUUUCUUUUGUUUUCAUGGAUGUGAAUCAGCACAAACAAAAAUAACAUAAGAUAAAAAAAAACAAGAAAACAAAGAGAGGGCAGUACCUAAUGAGACACAGAGAAGAACAAAACGGGCCUCGUGUUUGGCUUCGAUACAACUCAAAAUCGACCCCAAAUGGUUGUUCUUGUUAAGAACAACCAUUUGGGGUGAAUCUCAACAUUAUCGAAUCAGAAAAGAUCGACGAGGAAAGGACAUUCAUGACCCAGUGUUCUUAGGGUUCUUAGAUCCAAACUUCGCGAAGUUGUAGGAGUUUUUGACGGGAGAUAUUUGGUGAUUAGUGAUGAGGGGAAGCAAAGGGGUUGUAGGGUAUGAGUUUGGCGAUGUUUGGGUGAACUAGGGUUUGGAUCUGAUUUUCAGAUCUAAAGUUGAUAGAUUUGUAUGGUGAUUUUGGGGAAAUAUAUAGUGGGAUAGUGUUUGGGAGGGCAUCAGGAUAACGAGGUGUGAAUUUGGAACGAUUUGGUGAAGCUCCACCGCCAUAAAGCGAUUUCCGAGUGACGGAGAAGGCGGAGCCGACGAGGGGAUAAGGGGCGGCUAGGGUUUCGUUGGUUUAGAGAUGGAGAGUGAAAUGAGCGG